GCACCUCAUGCGCCGGGAGUCCGGGCAUCGGGCCAUUAGGGAUGGCCCGCGCACAAGCAUUUCAGGCGCACGGGCGUUCGGCCCCGCCGAUGUGCC
RNAcentral lists this transfer RNA (96 nucleotides) under Pandoraea bronchicola. RNAcentral describes it as "Pandoraea sp. LMG 20603 tRNA-Pro". Lineage: Bacteria; Pseudomonadati; Pseudomonadota; Betaproteobacteria; Burkholderiales; Burkholderiaceae. The record is from RNAcentral.